RNAcentral lists this long non-coding RNA (3016 nucleotides) under Anser brachyrhynchus (Pink-footed goose). RNAcentral describes it as "lncRNA (ENSABRG00000005962.1)". Lineage: Eukaryota; Metazoa; Chordata; Aves; Anseriformes; Anatidae. The record is from RNAcentral.
CUCCAGUCUUUGUCAUCUCCUGUUCUGUUUGUUUAUAACCAGAGAGAAAACAUAAACUAACCACUAGCAGCAGACACACCAAGCUGCUCUCUUUUUGUCUAGCCAUUUUGCAGUUCCAGAAAGAGAAGUGCUGGCUCAGAAAGCAGCUCAAAAUUCAUAAAGAGGCACAUCCAAAGCUUGGCGAAACUAUUGAUAACUGCGUUUUUCCUGUCUUCCCUCAACAUUUCCAUGAGUGCGGCAUCGUCUGGCUGGAGUUCAGGCUCACAUCUCUCCCCAUAAAGGUGGGGGAAAUAAGGCAGGGGAAGAAAAAUAUUCUUAUUUUCUCUAUUUAACUACAGUUGUAUUUUGUUCUGUUUUAUUACAACUGUGCCCGUGGUGGAACCAGAGGAGGCAGGGCUUCACACGAGCCCACACAGGGAUGGAGCAAAGUGGGGCCAGCAGCAUCCACCAGUGCCCACGCUCGGUUUUAGGGAUGGGGAACUGAAACCCAGGCUCUCUCCUGGCUCCCAAUUCUCGCUUACCACACUUAAUUAAACUAAUCAAGGCUUCCCCCUCCUCCUCAGCUUCCCUGCCAAUAAAAGCAGCAGCACAGGGCCGGGUGAUGGAUGCAGUGCCCUGGGAAGCUGCGUCUGACCCCAGCCCUGCGGAGGAGCCGCUGCCCUCGGGUGCUGUGCGGAUGAGAGUCAAGGCUGCUGGAGGACUUCUUAAGGCACGGAAGCUGAGGAGGUGCGUGCUGCAGAGCCGCGGUGCAAAACAAAGGGAAGGGGCACAAAUAGUUGGAGAUCAAAAGAUUCUCUUCCAGCUCAGAUUCAUGUGGCACCGAGCUGUUGCAGCGCUGCGUUACGGCGUUUCAAGGACACUGAUCCCCAGCGUGCCACGGGGAGAGGCGCCCUGCAGCUCCCGGGAGCAGCGCGGCUCUGCUGCAGUCCUCCUGGCGGGGUGGUCGGGACCAGAGCUGCAGCCAGGCAGAAGUGGUCUGCUGGUGGGGACCUUGCGAUCACCGGUGAGCAGCAGGGGGGCUCAGGGGUGGUGGCAUUCCCAUGGCAGUGUUCCCACGGUGGCAUUCCCACACGGCACCGUGCUGGGCACCGUGCAGGCUGAGGCAUCGCAGCGGUAGCAGCAGAGGGGACGCAGGGGAGCACGAGGUUACAUCGAGCCUGCUCGUUCUCAUUAUUAGAGUGACAUCCUCAGGGGGAAGGUGGACGGGAGAAGUCGGGGCUGACACGUGCUGACAAGGGAGCUACGAAUAAGGAAUGCCCAGAUGAUUUAUUUCUGAAGUAAUUAAGGCACUAGGUGACCUGUCCUGAAUUCCUGCCCUUGCCACCUGCCCCGGGUGAUCAGCUGGAAGUCGCUUUGCCUCUCAGGGCCUCAGACCCUCAGUGGUGACCUGGGCACCGCGGCCUUCCCCGCUGCUACCGCGGGCGGCGUGCACGGCGAUGCAGCCGAGUCGCAAACGCUUUGCUUGUGGGACGUGAAAGCACUUGGCAGGAUUUAUGCAGCCGGUACCCGCUCUGACACGAGGCAUGUCCCUGCAAGCAUUACUGGAAGGUGCUCAGAUCCAAGGCUGGAAUGAGAGCUGACUGAGCAGCAUAUGGGUAAAUGAUUUAGACACUGAGCAAUCACGCAUUUCUGAAGCACGCUUUUGUUAAAGGCCUAGCGGGAGAGCUCCCCUGGUCUCAUAAUAAGCCCAGAUAGCGUGUUUAUGGCUGUGGUACGUAUGGCAAAUAUAGGCGUUUUGUCUGAACACAUUUAAGCAUUUUCUCCCAUCAGGCCGUGGCCAUUUUCAGUUUAAACGAUGAUAACGCUUUCUGGAGAAUGAGUUACGGGUAUCGGGGAAAGCUCUGUAAAACGAGAGCAAACGAGAACCCUGCCUCGCAUCAGCACUGUGGCAGCAGGAUGAGCGCCGUCAGACACCGAUGGCAUGGGCACGUCCCAGCAGCCACCCUCGCCCCGCCGCCGAGCCGAAUAAUCCUCUUUUCCCCAGCCAGAACAAGCACUUCAUAAAUAUUCAUCUGCUCAAAUGAAAGCAUUAGCCCUUGUUUCCUCGAGUGGAACUAACUGAAAAUUGAUGAUAGUUUUCUGAAAAUGCAAGAUUAUGUACACAGAAGCAAUUAUAUGUAAACUUAUUAAUUAUUUAACAGCUUGUUAAUGAGCAAGGUUUGUUCUCGUCGCUCGGGUUGGCCCCACGUUUGGUGCUGCAGGCGACCACGGCUCCGCGGGACGGAGGGGCAGGUGAAGCCACAGAGCUGGAACGUGUUUCAGCUGCUAGUGUCUGAAAAAACAACCUUUGAACCCAGCUUGUGGGGUGCAGGCAGUGCUCAGGCUCGCAGGGAAGUGCAGGAGCUCAGAGCCCGGCCUCCUGGACACGGCGCGGAGGCAGAGCAGCGCUCCUCAUCCCCUGCUCAGAGCGCCUGCUCGCAGCCUUGAAGCAUUAGCUACAUCAUAUGCUUUUGAAAUCCUCAUUAAACAUGUAUAAAUGGAAAUAAUUUGAUUUUGUAAUGCAAGCCAACCAUUCACAUUCACACGGGCUGCAGGCCCCUCGUGCAGCGGCCGUGCCCAGCCCCUCGCACCCUGCUGCAGAGCGGGCUGCGGCCCCCCGGUGCUGGGGGCCCCUUCGUCACAGCAGGCUGGCAGUCUGCGGCACACGGUGAAUAUUCUUCAGUUUUAUUAAACUUCCCAAACAUCUCGAGCUCUGUUAUGUGCUAUCAGUGCCUAACUUCUUUAUUUGGCUGGAUGUCAGAGGCCGCAGUCAGGUCAGGUCCUAUUGUGUCAUAAGCACGGCACAGUCGUUUGGUGGGUGACAGGAAUGACGAAAUUUUAUUCAAUAACUGCUGUAGCGCCACUUUCAGAAAUAUUUUUUACAUCAUUGUGACAUGUGCCAGAACUCAGAUACGCGCUUGUAAAUUAGUGCACAGCACUCGGCAAUUUCUGGCUAAUGAAUUCCAGCAAGCAAUUUUCUUUGAGAUUUGUGGAAUAUUUUUGCAUUAUGGAUAAUAAAAGUAAAAACUAAUAAACA